AAUUAACUCUACCAUACUUUGUUUAUAGGUUCUUCAAGAUUUUCCAUCUGCCAGUGCAAACAUCCCCUUCGAGUAUUUGUUUGAUCUAAUUCCACCGAUUCAGCCGCGAGCGUUUUCAAUUGCUUCAUCGCUGAUGGCUCACCCAGAUGAAAUUCAACUACUGGUGGCUGUUGUAAACUACAAAACUAAACUGUUCAAACCAAGAAGGGGGCUUUGUUCAACGUGGCUGGCCUCUCUGGACCCUUCAAACAAAGCUUUACGUAUCCCUGUAUGGGUCAAGAAAGGAACCAUAUCAUUUCCCAAGGCUUUAGAUUCACCCAUUGUUAUGAUAGGUCCAGGUACUGGUUGUGCGCCUUUUAGAAGUUUAAUUGAAGAAAGAGUGUCGCAGUCUGCCGGGGGUAAGUUGUAGUUUGGGACAAGGGAAGAGAUAGACAUCAGUUGAAUGUAACUUUGAAGCACGGACCACAGUUCACGGAGAACAAGUCUGGAGAUGGGAAAAGGAAUAUCGAGAGAGCAUUCGUUAUGUUAAAGAUUCAUGGCUGCGGUACUCAUAGGUGCGUGACA
Molecule: long non-coding RNA, 564 nt
Organism: Orbicella faveolata
Lineage: Eukaryota; Metazoa; Cnidaria; Anthozoa; Scleractinia; Merulinidae
Source: RefSeq, a predicted model, not a curated record